This 167-nucleotide ribosomal RNA is filed under the name Robiginitomaculum sp. RNAcentral's name for it is "partial 16S ribosomal RNA". It matches the Rfam family "Bacterial small subunit ribosomal RNA", at positions 1 to 169 of the family's 1533-position model. The record is from RNAcentral. Lineage: Bacteria; Pseudomonadati; Pseudomonadota; Alphaproteobacteria; Maricaulales; Robiginitomaculaceae.
CAACUUGAGAGUUUGAUCCUGGCUCAGAACGAACGCUGGCGGCAGGCUUGACACAUGCAUGUCGAACGCCUGAUCAUCUUCGGAUGUGAAGGAGUGGCAGACGGGUGAGUAACGCGUGGGAAACUACCUUAUAGUUCGGAAUAAUCCAUGGAAACGUGGCCUAAUAC